Molecule: ribosomal RNA, 570 nt
Filed under: Yamadamyces rosulatus
Lineage: Eukaryota; Fungi; Basidiomycota; Microbotryomycetes; Kriegeriales; Kriegeriaceae
Description: eukaryotic LSU rRNA
Rfam family: Eukaryotic large subunit ribosomal RNA
Source: RNAcentral
AAAAGAAACUAACWWGGAUUCCCCUAGUAACGGCGAGUGAAGCGGGAAGAGCUCAAAUUUGUAAUCUGGCACUUUCAGUGUCCGAGUUGUAAUCUCGAGAAGUGUUUUCCGCGCCAGACCGCAUACAAGUCUGUUGGAAUACAGCGUCAUAGUGGUGAGAACCCCGUAACUGAUGCGGAUGCCUGGUGCUCUGUGAUACACUUUCGAAGAGUCGAGUUGUUUGGGAAUGCAGCUCAAAUUGGGUGGUAAAUUCCAUCUAAAGCUAAAUAUUGGCGAGAGACCGAUAGCGAACAAGUACCGUGAGGGAAAGAUGAAAAGCACUUUGGAAAGAGAGUUAACAGUACGUGAAAUUGUUGGAAGGGAAACGCUUGAAGUCAGACUUGCUAUUUGGAAUUCAGCCGCAAGGUGUAUUUUUCAAUUCGCAGGCCAGCAUCAGUUUUUGGGGGUGGAAAAGGGUAGAGAGAAGGUAGCAACUCCGGUUGUGUUAUAGCUCUUUGCUGGAUUCAUCCUUGGGGACUGAGGAACGCAGCACGCUUUUGCAAGGCUUUCGAGCUUUCGUGCUUAGAUGCC